AUGGCCUUCCAGGGAGCGCUUGGCAGGUACACCUGGCUGCUGGCAGAACUCAUCAGUAGCUACUCAGCAGCUCCCUGGCAAUCUCCCUCGGCAGAUCGCUGGAUUGCACAGCGCCUGGUUACCCUGAAGGCACAGUGGCUGCCCUACCUUGCGCACCAGUCGGUGCCAACGUUCUUCCUGCCGAUAAACUGCACCUGCUGCUCUCUGCGAGCACUCAGCCUUCCAGAAUGUGUGCCCGCCACUCGGCAUAAAGGCCCCCUUUCUUCAGCUCACCCACACCACGCAGGCUUGUUCUGCAGGGCUGGUCUACAAGCCCGGGCCAGCCCCAGGCGCUGACUGUCAGCUCCACGGACAGCUUGUGCUCACUCACAGGGCCAGCUCCAGGCCUUAAAGGUACAGAGCGGCUGGUGGCCGGACCCCACGAACUCGGGACUCCUGUGGAGGUAGCUUGGCAAACAUAGUUCAAGGACUUGGUCGAUAUGGCCUGGAUCUCUUGAAAAGCUC
This 504-nucleotide long non-coding RNA is filed under the name Oryctolagus cuniculus (rabbit). Its description in RNAcentral is "lncRNA (ENSOCUG00000036892.1)". The record is from RNAcentral. Lineage: Eukaryota; Metazoa; Chordata; Mammalia; Lagomorpha; Leporidae.